RNAcentral lists this long non-coding RNA (370 nucleotides) under Elaeis guineensis (African oil palm). RNAcentral's name for it is "long non-coding RNA (EGUI_LNC014646)". The record is from RNAcentral. Lineage: Eukaryota; Viridiplantae; Streptophyta; Magnoliopsida; Arecales; Arecaceae.
AGUGCCUUGACCUUAUCCUCUUUUAAUGCCCCAUUUAUUACAUGAGAAAAUAUUUCUCAUGAAAUCAGUCAUGCACAAAUUAAGCCACACCCUCCUCUUCUCAUGCCCUUAGUGGAUAGGGAUAAAUUGGUUUCCAUUUGAAUUCAAAAUUUGAUUUGAAUUCAAAUGUGCAAUUACUCAUCUUUAUCCUUUCACAUGGAUAAGAUGUUUGUCCUUAUUUUAAAAGGAAGAGAAGAGUGGGGCGUGUGAAAAAAAAAAUUUUCGAGAGAAAAUCUGGCCGUGAGGAAUCCUUGUGUGCAAGGUGAAGGUCUAUAUCCUUUCGAGAGAAAAAGAAAGAAAAAGUGUGCGCAGGGUUUCAGUGAGUUCUUCA